RNAcentral lists this ribosomal RNA (1227 nucleotides) under Triticum aestivum (bread wheat). RNAcentral's name for it is "partial small subunit ribosomal RNA". Lineage: Eukaryota; Viridiplantae; Streptophyta; Magnoliopsida; Poales; Poaceae. The record is from RNAcentral.
AUGAAGCAGCUCCACAAGUCCCCCACCCACGCGCCGUCGCCGGCGCACGCGCCGGCGUCCAAGAUCUCCAAGCCCGCGCGCCCCGGGCCGCGCACCUGGGUCGGCUACCUCCUCCGCGAGCAGCGCCUCCUCUUCGUCCUCCUCGGUGCGCUCAUCGCCACCUCCUUCUUCCUCCUCCGCCCCUACCUCUUCUCCCUGUCAGCCUCCAACCCCACCGAGCGAAGCCCCAUCUUCUCCUUCACCGGCCACUCGUCGGACUCCCGCGGCGUCCCCGCGGGCUUCCGCCCGCCGCCUCGCCGCGUCGUCGUCACCGGCGGGGCGGGCUUCGUGGGCAGCCACCUCGUCGACAGGCUGCUGGAGCAGGGGGACAGCGUGAUCGUGGUGGACAACUUCUUCACCGGGAGGAAGGAGAACGUCGCGCACCACCUGCGGAACCCCAGGUUCGAGCUUCUCCGACACGAUGUCGUCGAGCCCAUCCUUCUCGAGGUCGACCGGAUCUACCACCUCGCGUGCCCCGCAUCGCCCGUGCACUACAAGUACAACCCCAUCAAGACGAUCAAGACAAAUGUCAUGGGAACCUUGAAUAUGUUGGGUCUGGCAAAGCGAAUCGGUGCAAGGUUCUUGUUAACUAGCACAAGUGAAGUUUAUGGUGACCCACUUGAGCAUCCGCAGAAGGAGACUUAUUGGGGGCAUGUUAAUCCUAUAGGUGUUAGGAGUUGUUAUGACGAGGGCAAAAGAACAGCAGAGACUUUGACUAUGGACUACCAUCGUGGUGGUGGUGUUGCGGUACGAAUUGCUCGUAUUUUCAAUACAUAUGGCCCUCGUAUGUGCCUGGAUGAUGGCCGCGUGGUUAGCAAUUUUGUUGCACAGGCACUGCGCAAACAUCCAAUGACAGUAUAUGGUGAUGGAAAACAAACUCGAAGUUUUCAGUAUGUUUCUGAUCUGGUUGCUGGAUUGAUGGCUCUGAUGGAGAGUGAACAUAUUGGCCCUUUCAAUCUGGGAAACCCAGGAGAGUUCACCAUGUUGGAACUUGCAGAGGUUGUGAAGGAAACAAUUGACCCAAUGUCGACAAUUGAAUUCAAGCCCAACACUGCUGAUGAUCCCCAUAUGAGAAAGCCCGAUAUUACCAAGGCCAAGCAACUGCUAGGUUGGGAGCCAAAGGUAUCUCUGAAGGAAGGCCUUCCCUUGAUGGUGACAGAUUUCCGCAAAAGGAUCUUGGAUGAGUAA